UCCACCUGCUGUGUGGGCAGCCACCCUGUGUUUCCAGAGUUUCCCAGAAGGCUGGCACCACCGGUGGGCAGAAAGCAGGUACACCUACCUGCCCAAGCUUUGUGUCCGUUUUCAUGGACUCUUUCACCUUUCAGCUUUCUAGACUUAAGGUCCGAAUUCCACUGGGGCACGUCUUAGAAAAACUGUCCAGCAGACUUCACUGGCGUGAAGCAGGGGACACCCAGGCCUGCGCAGCUUCCUCAGAAUUCAACAGAACAUGCACAAGUCUGAAGAAAGGAUGCCAACUAAGGGAACUAAUUCAGAGACUGGCUGCCCAGAGCACCAACCUUCUUACCUCCCACCUCCAACACACACGGAGCCUCUUCCAGGUCACCACACACACAGUGCUUUAAAAGGACUGCUUGAAGUUCUUGUUAUGACCGGAAACAAGCAAACACCUCAUGUCCUUGGCCACCCAGACUGUGUAACUUUGACCCAACAAGCACUGAAGCAGCACGGAUUAAACAGCUCAGGAUGUGGAAGUGGGACAUGCAGGCAAGGGGCUGUGAGGGGCCGGAGAACAGGAUUUGCCACCUGUCACCUCGCAGGCGGUGAAACUCUCACAGGAGAUGGCUCCUUGGAAGGCUUCUGCCCAGACGUGUGAAGAGGCCAAGGAUGUGAGGAGAAGCACCUCAGAGGAAACAGGUGAUAAGGAGGGGCACGUAGACGGUUCUGACCGGAGUGAAGCAGAAAGGCAGGGGAGAGGGAGACUUCUGGAACAAGAAGGAAAGAGCCCUGCCCUGCUGCAGCCUGGCCAGUGAUGGUGGUCCCCAUCCAGGACCUGCUGUGUGAAUGCAAGGCUGUCUCCCAGGAACAGGGGCAUAAGGGACCGAAGGUGGCAGGUGGUACCCAAUCCAUAAGGUUAAGCCACACGAAACUGUGUAUUGUAGGUAAAAAAUGGCCACAUCUGAGCAAUUUCUCUUUUUAUUUAAUCUAUGUCUUAUUUAUUUUAUAACUGGACAUUUGUACCUUUUGAUCCCCUUACCCUAUUUCCUCCAUCCCCCUAGCUCCCUCCUCUAUACUCUGGCA
This is a long non-coding RNA of Canis lupus familiaris (dog), 1068 nucleotides long. RefSeq lists it as uncharacterized. The transcript has 3 exons. Lineage: Eukaryota; Metazoa; Chordata; Mammalia; Carnivora; Canidae. The record is from RefSeq and is a predicted model, not a curated record.